GAGGGUAUAGCUCAACGGUAGGUGCAUGCUUAGCAUGCGCAAGGCUCUGGGUUCAAUCCCCAGUACCUUCA
Molecule: transfer RNA, 71 nt
Filed under: Camelus bactrianus (Bactrian camel)
Lineage: Eukaryota; Metazoa; Chordata; Mammalia; Artiodactyla; Camelidae
Also listed under: 2 other names
Rfam family: tRNA
About the family: Transfer RNA (tRNA) molecules are approximately 80 nucleotides in length.
Source: Rfam by way of RNAcentral